Molecule: ribosomal RNA, 439 nt
Filed under: uncultured bacterium
Lineage: Bacteria
Description: partial 16S ribosomal RNA
Rfam family: Bacterial small subunit ribosomal RNA
Source: RNAcentral
CUACGGGGGGCAGCACUGAGGAAUAUCGCCCCCUUUUUUUAACCCUUAUUCAUCCCCGCCGCCCUUCUUAUGACGCAUUUCGGUGUGUAAACUCCUUUUAUAUGUCAAGAAAAUUACUUUCUCCUCUGCCUAAGCACCGGCUAACUCCGUGCCAGCAGCCGCGGUAAUACGGAGGGUGCAAGCGUUACUCGGAAUCACUGGGCGUAAAGGACGCGUAGGCGGGUUGGAAAGUCAGGUGUGAAAUCCUACAGCUUAACUGUAGAACUGCACUUGAAACUUCUAAUCUAGAGUAUGGGAGGGGGAGAUGGAAUUAGUGGUGUAGGGGUAAAAUCCGUAGAUAUCACUAGGAAUACCUAAAGCGAAGGCGAUCUCCUGGAACAUUACUGACGCUAAGGCGUGAAAGCGUGGGGAGCAAACAGGAUUAGAUACCCCCGUAGUC